GCACAGCUAUGCUCAGCCAAUAGAGCAUGAGACUCUUAAUCUCAGGAUUGUGGGUUCGAGCCCCACAUUGGGUG
This is a non-coding RNA of Podarcis lilfordi (Lilford's wall lizard), 74 nucleotides long. The record is from the annotation of a GenBank genome assembly. NCBI's taxonomy places the organism in Eukaryota, Metazoa, Chordata, Lepidosauria, Squamata, Lacertidae.